GUGUAAUACUUUGAAUUACCGUUUAAUUCCUGCUCUCUGAACUACUUAUAUACCAUGUGCUAAAAAUAUUUUUAAAUGUAUCUAACAUCUACAGGUGCAAAAGUUCAUUUAUUUCAGUAAUGCAACGUAAAAGGGGAAACUAAUUUAUGAGAUAAACGCACUACACGCAAAGCAAGAUAGUUCAAACCGUGAUUUGUCAUAAGUGCGAUGAUUAU
Non-coding RNA from Pelobates cultripes (western spadefoot toad), 215 nucleotides. The record is from the annotation of a GenBank genome assembly. Lineage: Eukaryota; Metazoa; Chordata; Amphibia; Anura; Pelobatidae.